RNAcentral lists this non-coding RNA (1130 nucleotides) under Labrus mixtus (cuckoo wrasse). RNAcentral describes it as "partial small subunit ribosomal RNA". The stretch from base 1 to 941 matches the Rfam family "Bacterial small subunit ribosomal RNA". Lineage: Eukaryota; Metazoa; Chordata; Actinopteri; Labriformes; Labridae. The record is from RNAcentral.
AGGCUUGGUCCUGACUUUGUUAUCAACUUUAGCUAGACUUACACAUGCAAGCAUCCGCACUCCAGUGAGAAUGCCCUAUGGUCCUCUGUUUGAGGGCUGGGAGCUGGUAUCAGGCACAAGAACUUAGCCCACGACGCCUUGUUUAGCCACACCCUCAAGGGAAUUCAGCAGUGAUAAACAUUAAGCCAUAAGUGAAAACUUGACUUAGUUAAAGCUAAGAGGGCCGGUAAAUCUCGUGCCAGCCACCGCGGUUAUACGAAAGACCCAAGUUGAUAGUCACCGGCGUAAAGAGUGGUUAAGAUAAAUCCACAAACUAAAGCCGAACAUCUUCAAAGCUGUUAUACGCACACGAAGAAAGGAAAUCCAACCACGAAAGUGGCUUUAUAUCAUCUGACCCCACGAAAGCUAUGAUACAAACUGGGAUUAGAUACCCCACUAUGCUUAGCCGUAAACAUUGAUAGUACAGUACAUCUACUAUCCGCCCGGGUACUACGAGCAUAAGCUUAAAACCCAAAGGACUUGGCGGUGCUUUAGAUCCACCUAGAGGAGCCUGUUCUAGAACCGAUAAUCCCCGUUAAACCUCACCUUUUCUUGUUUUCCCCGCCUAUAUACCGCCGUCGUCAGCUUACCCUGUGAAGGGUCAAUAGUAAGCAAAAUUGGCAUAGCCCAAAACGCCAGGUCGAGGUGUAGCGUAUGAAAAGGGAAGAAAUGGGCUACAUUCAAUAUAACAAUGCAUACGGAUGGUGGCCUGAAAUACCCACCUGAAGGAGGAUUUAGCAGUAAGCAGGAAAUAGAGAGUCCCGCUGAAAUUGGCCCUGAAGCGCGUACACACCGCCCGUCACUCUCCCCGAAACUAUGUAUCUUAAUACUUAAUACCUUAAAACUCCAAAGGGGAGGCAAGUCGUAACAUGGUAAGUGUACCGGAAGGUGCACUUGGAAAAAUCAGAGCAUAGCUAAAUAACGAAUAGCACCUCCCUUACACCGAGAAGAUACCCGUGCAACCCGGGUUGCCCUGACACCCAAUAGCUAGCCCACCCCCAUAAAAUCAACAAAUCAACAUUUAUAACCCCUCAUCCCCGAAACCUAAAAUUAACAAACCAUUUUUCCACCUCAGUAUAGGCGAUAGAAAA